RNAcentral lists this long non-coding RNA (673 nucleotides) under Homo sapiens (human). RNAcentral describes it as "HSALNT0313921". The record is from RNAcentral. Lineage: Eukaryota; Metazoa; Chordata; Mammalia; Primates; Hominidae.
ACUUAGUUGUUUUAUGUUUCCUGUUUUAAAUUUUAGAAAUAAAUGGAUUUAACUAAAACAAUAGCCUUUAAUUAUUGUAGCAGUUUUAAGUUUACAAAAAACAAACAAACAAAAAACAAACAAAAAAAAAACCUGGGGAGAAAGUAGAGUUCCUGUAUGCCCAUUCACCCUUCUCCUCCCCACUUUUCCCCAUUAUUAACUAUGGUGGUACAUUUGUUACAACUAAUGAACCAAUAUUGAUGCAUUAUUAUAACUAUAGUACAUUAGGGUUCACUGGGUGUACAUUUAAUGGAUUUUGACAAAUGCAUGAUGUUAUGUGCCCACCAUCAUAAUAUCAUACAAAUUACUUUCACUGCCAUAGAAAUCCUCUGUACUCUACCUGUUUAUCCCUCCCCAUUUCCAAACCCUGGCAUCUUUUUUACGGUAUCUAUAGUUUUGCCAUUUCCAGAAUGUCAUAUAGUUGGAAUCAUACGGGAUAUAGCUGUUUAGACUGGUUUAUUUCAUUUAGCAGUAUGCACUUAAGGUUUUUCAUCUGCAUUUCUUUGGUGAGAUGUCUGUUCAGAUCUUUUGCUCACAUUUUAAUCAAGUUGUUUUUCUUCUUGAGUUUUAAUAGUUUUUGGUGUAUUUUGGAUGACGGUCGAAUAUCAGAAAUGUGUUUAGCAAAUAUUUUCUU